This is a long non-coding RNA of Branchiostoma floridae (Florida lancelet), 535 nucleotides long. RefSeq lists it as uncharacterized. Lineage: Eukaryota; Metazoa; Chordata; Leptocardii; Amphioxiformes; Branchiostomatidae. The transcript has 3 exons. The record is from RefSeq and is a predicted model, not a curated record.
GAAGAAGUCACUCAGGCCGCAAAAGGCCACGCCCACCGCUCGCUCAAUUUUCAUGUGAAUUUACAUGAUAAUUUAUAACUGUCACGUGGUGUCAAGUUUCCAUAGCUGCCUGCCACAACUGUCACAUGAUAAACAAAUAUUUCGGGGCACAACAAAUCAACAACGGGACGGCAUCGAGGAGAGUUUGGGUGACGUUGGGUUAUUCCAGGACCUUUCACCCCCAGUGGGCAAGAAUAAGAAGGUUGACAGCGAGUGUCAGACGCGUACUGGGCGGCGAAACGGGGCGACGCAGCCGAGCAAGCUUCGCACGAGGGGCCCCUGUGAGGAACCGACAACAUGGCUGCAACAGGGUAUAAAACCAAGACUCGCUCCAAGUCCCAGGAAAGGGAACUGAGUAGCAGGGAGAAGUCCAUGGCACAGAGAGCUGAGAGACAGUUGCUGAACUGGGAGCGGCUGAAGAAAUCGGAACACCAGAAGGAGCACAAGACGCUGAAGACGAACGUGGCGUUGCAGCGGGAGCUCAUACAAGCUCGCG